GUGCCAGAAUUACAGGUGUGAGCCACUGUGCCCGGUCCAUGGCGCCCUGUUUUCAACCUCUGCUCUUACCUUUAGUUCACUCCUCUUUCAGGAGUCCAGCACCUGAAGAAUGAUAGUGGCCAGCGUGGAAAUGCACAAACCACCUUGUGUAAGAUACUGCACCCUACCCGCUCCUGUAUCACCACCACCAGGACUCCUGGUACAUACUCCAGGACAGAUACAGGAGAGUUGAGUCGUCCUGUUCCUGGCAUUCCUAUCUGGGCUACACUACCUACCCCAUCGCCAGAGAAAGGUGAGACAGAAGCACAAAGUGGUUGUACACUAUGCUAUGACCUUCCAGUUUUCUCCAGCUCUGUUGCAUUGUGCUGCCAUCAAUUUUAAUGAGCCUGAUGAUACCGCCGUGUUGACAGUUUGGAAAGGGAAUCAAGUUACUAGUAGACUUAAGCUGCAGCCAGCCAAACAGUUGCUCUGCAGGAAAAUCACCAAGAUUGCAGUGAGUGUGGAAGUCCUCAGAGCCAAUUAGGUCAGCUUAAUAAUCUCUGAUCAAGUGGGUAUUUUAUAACUUGUCCCAGGGGUGUUGGGAGGGCAUAUGGAGAAAAUACCCUUAUUCUAUUGCUUUUUGUUGUUGGAGACGGUCUGACUCUGUCACCCAAGCUGGAAUACACUGGCACAAUCAUGGUUCACUGCAUGCUCGACCUGGGCACAAACAAUCCUCCCACCUCAGCUGAGUAACUGGGACUAUAGGUGCGUGCCACCAUGCCUGGCUAAAUAUUUUUGGUAGCGAUGAGGUCUCACUAUGUUGCACAGGCUGGUUUCAAACCCCUGGGCUCAAGUGAUCCUCCUGACUUGAACUCCCAAAGUGCUGGGAUUACAGGCAUGAGCCACUGCACCUGGCCAGAGUUAACUCUAUUUCUGAUUAAGGGGACUUGACCCCUGGCCAGGAGGGGCCUGGGGUCUCUGUGUUUAAGACAGCACUCCCCAGCGCCAGCCCUGGCAGAGGAAGAGUGGAGGUAUGGGGAGGGAGGCCUCAAACAGAAUCUAGAGAUCAUAUUCUAGCCCCAACCUGGCCACUGAAUGGUAUUUGCUCCCCUCUGUCACUUCCCCUCUGAGCCUCCAGUUCCUCAACUGAAACUCCGAGGCCCAAGCUAAGUGAGCCUGCAGGUUGUUUCAGCUGUACAAAUCUGCAUGUGGUUCACCGUGAGCCUAACCAGCAA
Molecule: long non-coding RNA, 1214 nt
Filed under: Homo sapiens (human)
Lineage: Eukaryota; Metazoa; Chordata; Mammalia; Primates; Hominidae
Description: long non-coding RNA NONHSAT219892.1
Source: RNAcentral